This is a long non-coding RNA of Microtus oregoni (creeping vole), 246 nucleotides long. RefSeq lists it as uncharacterized. The record is from RefSeq and is a predicted model, not a curated record. The transcript is spliced from 3 exons. Lineage: Eukaryota; Metazoa; Chordata; Mammalia; Rodentia; Cricetidae.
UUCCUGGUUGCGUAGAGGGCUGUUGCCUGGGACAGUGAUCUAGUAAUGCUAUUGUACACUGUGAAGAUUUGUCCCUGUGAUUGGUUUAAUAAACAAGCUGACCGGCCAAUAGCUAAACAGAAUAAAGAUAGGCAGGAAAGUCAAACUCAGAAUUCUGGAAAGAAGUCAGGCAAAGUGAGGAAUCACCAGCCAGACACAGAGGAAGCAGGAGAUGAAUGUGUCAUGAUAAUAAAGACAAUACCUGAU